AAGUCGUAACAAGGUCCGUAGGUACUUUCAGACAAUAACUACUUGGGGAUGCCAGGCCACUUACCUCGCGCAACAUGCACACUCUUCGUACGAGCACACUGACACAGGGAUCCUUCCGCAGGUUCACAACUGCGUAAGGAUGGCGCAGUCACGAUCGUUAGAGGCCGACACGGCCGACGACCGGGUCACCGGGCUCACGCCCCCUUAUCACAAAACCCAUGCAUGAAGACGCGCCUGCGCUAAAACCGCGGCGACCAAAAACCGAACAACUGUUAACAAUGGAUAUCUUGGUUCUC
RNAcentral lists this unclassified non-coding RNA (296 nucleotides) under fungal sp. RNAcentral's name for it is "partial internal transcribed spacer region". Lineage: Eukaryota; Fungi. The record is from RNAcentral.